This 253-nucleotide ribosomal RNA is filed under the name uncultured bacterium. RNAcentral describes it as "partial 16S ribosomal RNA". It matches the Rfam family "Bacterial small subunit ribosomal RNA", at positions 524 to 776 of the family's 1533-position model. The record is from RNAcentral.
GACAGAGGGUGCAAACGUUGUUCGGAAUUACUGGGCGUAAAGCGCGUGUAGGCGGCUUGGCAAGUCGGGUGUGAAAGCCCUGGGCUUAACCUAGGAAGUGCACUCGAAACUGCCGAGCUUGAGUUCUGGAGAGGAAGGCGGAAUUCUCGGUGUAGAGGUGAAAUUCGUAGAUAUCGAGAGGAACACCGGUGGCGAAGGCGGCCUUCUGGACAGCAACUGACGCUGAGGAGCGAAAGCCAGGGGAGCAAACGGG